This is a non-coding RNA of Triticum urartu, 179 nucleotides long. The record is from Rfam. NCBI's taxonomy places the organism in Eukaryota, Viridiplantae, Streptophyta, Magnoliopsida, Poales, Poaceae.
UGGGUUUGUACUAAGUCAAACUUGUUUAAGUUUGACUAACUUUACAAAAAAUGCUAAUAUCUACACCAUUAAAUAUAUGUUAUAAUGACACUGAUUAAGCUAAUUUGAUGUUGUAGAUAUUGGAAAGUUUUCUAUUAACUUGGUCAGAUGUAAAGAAGUUUGACUUAAGACAAACCUAA